CAUGCGGCGCAUUAGCUAGUCGGCGGGGUAACGGCCCACCGAGGCGACGAUGCGUAGGGGUUCUGAGAGGAAGGUCCCCCACACUGGUACUGAGACACGGACCAGACUCCUACGGGAGGCAGCAGUGAGGAAUAUUGGUCAAUGGGCGGGAGCCUGAACCAGCCAAGUCGCGUGAGGGAAGACGGUCCUAUGGAUUGUAAACCUCUUUUGCAGGGGAGCAAGGCGCGGUACGUGUACCGCGAAGGAGAGUACCCUGAGAAAAAGCAUCGGCUAACUCCGUGCCAGCAGCCGCGGUAAUACGGAGGAUGCGAGCGUUAUCCGGAUUUAUUGGGUUUAAAGGGUGCGCAGGCGGACUGUUAAGUCAGCGGUAAAAUGUCGGUGCUCAACACCGGCCGGCCGUUGAAACUGGCAGCCUUGAGUGAGCGAGAAGUAUGCGGAAUGCGUGGUGUAGCGGUGAAAUGCAUAGAUAUCACGCAGAACUCCGAUUGCGAAGGCAGCAUACCGGCGCUCAACUGACGCUCAGGCACGGAAGCGUGGGUAUCGAACAGGCUUAGAUACCCUGGUAGUCCACGCAGUAAACGAUGAAUGCUCACUGUCCGGGCCGUUUAAGGCCUGG
This 616-nucleotide ribosomal RNA is filed under the name uncultured bacterium. RNAcentral describes it as "bacterial SSU rRNA". It matches the Rfam family "Bacterial small subunit ribosomal RNA", at positions 230 to 842 of the family's 1533-position model. The record is from RNAcentral.